CUAGCCAUGCCGCGUGAGCGAUGAAGGCCUUAGGGUUGUAAAGCUCUUUCAGUGGGGAAGAUAAUGACGGUACCCACAGAAGAAGCCCCGGCUAACUCCGUGCCAGCAGCCGCGGUAAU
RNAcentral lists this ribosomal RNA (119 nucleotides) under uncultured bacterium. RNAcentral describes it as "partial 16S ribosomal RNA". It matches the Rfam family "Bacterial small subunit ribosomal RNA", at positions 388 to 524 of the family's 1533-position model. The record is from RNAcentral.